Molecule: ribosomal RNA, 114 nt
Filed under: Caesioperca lepidoptera
Lineage: Eukaryota; Metazoa; Chordata; Actinopteri; Perciformes; Anthiadidae
Description: partial 16S ribosomal RNA
Source: RNAcentral
CGAGAAGACCCUGUGGAGCUUUAGACACCAGGACAGACUACGUUAAUAGUCCCCAAAUAAGGGAUUGAACAGAGUAGAUCCCUGCCCUAAUGUCUUUGGUUGGGGCGACCAAGG